This 445-nucleotide ribosomal RNA is filed under the name uncultured bacterium. Its description in RNAcentral is "partial 16S ribosomal RNA". It matches the Rfam family "Bacterial small subunit ribosomal RNA", at positions 354 to 796 of the family's 1533-position model. The record is from RNAcentral.
GUGAGGAAUAUUGCGCAAUGGAGGCAACUCUGACGCAGCCAUGCCGCGUGCAGGAAGAAGGCGCUACGCGUUGUAAACUGCUUUUAACCGGGAAGAAACCCCAGGACGUGUCCUGGGUUGACGGUACCGGAGGAAUAAGCACCGGCUAACUUCGUGCCAGCAGCCGCGGUAAUACGAAGGGUGCAAGCGUUAUCCGGAUUCAUUGGGGUUAAAGGGUGCGUAGGCGGAGCGUUAAGUCAGUGGUGAAAUCCUGCAGCUUAACUGUAGACUUGCCAUUGAUACUGGCGCUCUUGAGUGAGCUGGAAGUGGGCGGAAUGUGCCGUGUAGCGGUGAAAUGCUUAGAUAUGGCACAGAACACCAAUUGCGAAGGCAGCUCACUAAGGCGAUACUGACGCUGAGGCACGAAAGCGUGGGGAUCGAACAGGAUUAGAAACCCCAGUAGUCC